Molecule: ribosomal RNA, 705 nt
Filed under: uncultured bacterium
Lineage: Bacteria
Description: bacterial SSU rRNA
Rfam family: Bacterial small subunit ribosomal RNA
Source: RNAcentral
GCACGGGUGAGUAACGCGUAUCCAACCUUCCGCUUACUCGGGGAUAGCCUUUCGAAAGAAAGAUUAAUACCCGAUGGUAUCUUAAGCACGCAUGAGAUUAAGAUUAAAGAUUUAUCGGUAAGCGAUGGGGAUGCGUUCCAUUAGGCAGUUGGCGGGGUAACGGCCCACCAAACCUACGAUGGAUAGGGGUUCUGAGAGGAAGGUCCCCCACAUUGGAACUGAGACACGGUCCAAACUCCUACGGGAGGCAGCAGUGAGGAAUAUUGGUCAAUGGGCGAGAGCCUGAACCAGCCAAGUAGCGUGAAGGAUGACGGCCCUACGGGUUGUAAACUUCUUUUGUGCGGGAAUAAAGGAACCUACGUGUAGGUUUUUGCAUGUACCGUAACGAAUAAGCAUCGGCUAACUCCGUGCCAGCAGCCGCGGUAAUACGGAGGAUGCGAGCGUUAUCCGGAUUUAUUGGGUUUAAAGGGAGCGUAGACGGGUUUUUAAGUCAGCUGUGAAAGUUUGGGGCUCAACCUUAAAAUUGCAGUUGAAACUGGAGACCUUGAGUACGGUUGAGGCAGGCGGAAUUCGUGGUGUAGCGGUGAAAUGCUUAGAUAUCACGAAGAACCCCGAUUGCGAAGGCAGCCUGCUAAGCCGCCACUGACGUUGAGGCUCGAAAGUGCGGGUAUCAAACAGGAUUAGAUACCCUGGUAGUCCGCACGG